Molecule: small nucleolar RNA, 69 nt
Organism: Esox lucius (northern pike)
Lineage: Eukaryota; Metazoa; Chordata; Actinopteri; Esociformes; Esocidae
Product: small nucleolar RNA SNORD2
Source: Ensembl
GAGUGAAAUGAUGGUAUCAUCUUUCGGGACAGACCUGACUUUGGUGACAACUUUUUAUACUGAUCACUC